AUCAGUAAAUUUAUCGAGUAGUGGCAAACGAUAUUCGUUCAAUGACGUUAUUCAUAUUUCUUAUAAUUACUGUACGUCGCACAUAAAUAUAGAUUUAUUUUACAAAGAGCUCUAGUGUUUGUCGAUCUAUCAUUCUAACCUUUCAUUACUUGUGCGAAACUGUACAAGAAACUUACAUUCACAGUUUUUAAUAGUCAAUAAUCAUUCAAUAAUAAUUAAUUUAAAUACAUACUAAUUUUAUAUCAAGUCAAAAAAAACAGUUUAAUUCUUAUUCAAUUUGUGUUUGUGACAAUUCAUUUUACAACUAAUCAAUUUACAGAUAAUAUUGUGUUGUAACGAUCAAAAUCAAACCGUCGAUAAUCACAUUCACAGUUUACGUUUAUUAAAGUUAUAUAAAUUAUUUCUUCACGUUUCAAUAAAUUAUUCACAGAAAUCAUACAGAAGAUCACGCUGCCAUACAAUAUGAUUCCAAACAUAAAGUUAAUAUGUA
Molecule: long non-coding RNA, 490 nt
Filed under: Acyrthosiphon pisum (pea aphid)
Lineage: Eukaryota; Metazoa; Arthropoda; Insecta; Hemiptera; Aphididae
Description: uncharacterized LOC107885805
Source: RNAcentral